UCCUGCCUCAUUCCGGUCCGUGGUGUUUUCACCCAAAGAUGAGAACUUUCAGCCUCCACGGGACUUCAAUCUUUGAGCUUAGUACCAAUUCCCACGACAGGAAUUUCAAGUCUUCCUUCUAUGGUUCUAACAAGCACCCAUUUGCCAGAGCCAGCUCUUCAUUAAUUUUCAAAUCUUGUCAUUUCUCUGUUCGAUGUGCUGUUAGUUUUCGACCUUGCAUUGAUAUUCACAAGGGGAAAGUGAAACAAAUUGUUGGGUCAACUCUUAGAGACUCAAAGGAGGAUGGAUCAACCCUUGUAACCAAUUUUGAAUCAGAUAAGUCUGCAGCUGAGUUUGCGAAGUUGUACAAAAAAGAUGGGCUAAAGGGUGGUCAUGUAAUCAUGCUUGGAGCUGAUCCUCUAAGCCAAGAAGCAGCCAUUGAAGCAUUGCAUGCCUAUCCUGGUGGUUUGCAAGUUGGAGGUGGGAUCAAUUUAGACAAUUGUUUGAGUUACAUCGAGGAAGGAGCCAGCCAUGUCAUUGUUACUUCAUAUGUAUUUAACAACGGGCAAAUGGACCUUCAAAGGCUCAAAGGACUUGUCCAUGUUGUUGGGAAACAGAGACUUGUUUUGGACCUUAGCUGCAGAAAGAAGGAAGACAAAUAUGCCAUUGUCACUGACAGAUGGCAAAAGUUCAGUGACGUCUAUCUUGAUGUGGAAGUAUUGCAUUUUCUUGCUAAUUAUGCAGAUGAAUUUUUGGUUCAUGGUGUGGAUGUUGAAGGGAAAAAGCUGGGAAUAGACAAAGAUCUUGUGGCAUUACUGGGCGAGCACUCUCCGAUUCCUGUCACUUAUGCGGGUGGUGUCACAUUAAUGGAUGAUUUAGAGACGAUCAAAGAAGCAGGGAAGGGACAUGUGGAUGUUACUGUAGGAAGUGCCUUGGAUAUUUUUGGGGGCAAUUUAGCAUAUGGUGAUGUUGUUGCUUGGCAUGACAAUAACAGGAGGGGGCAUAAACGAGAUUUGUAGCGCCAAGCCCCAGCCCUUCUUCACGAGUUAGCAGGUGCUCCCUUAAGGUGGGUUAAGACAUGGCCUAAACUCUGUCUCUCCAGAGCAAAUCAAGUCAAACCCUUGAUUUGUCCCACUUUGGAGAUCGCUACCCCUAGAACUUCACUUUCCUGGCUUGGAGGAUCAUCUGCCAUUCUGCCUUGUUGUAUUACAGAAGUUGACUAUGGAAGCCAAGGAAUAUUUCCCGCGAUUUUCAGAUGAGGCUUGAUUUGUUUUAAUGAAAUGCACUUCACAAACAUUAAGCCUUUGUUAUUUCACAGAUUCAAUUUCAUGUUCUGAUUUUGUGUUUCUAUGUUAUAUGAAGGAAAUUUCAUCCCAUUAAGUUGAAGAGAAUUUAUUGGAAAUUUGGACAAGCUAAAGUCCGAUUUCGAUUAGCAGCUGUGGACGAUGGUGAACGGUGAGUGGCACGAAGACCAGACGUCGAGAUUUGGGUUCUGGGGUGGCUUACAAUUAAGUUUUAACUACCUAUCGGCUGUCACAAUCUUACCUGUCCCAACAUGAACAAGACAACCAAGGAAUUCCACUUUUCUACGUAAAACAGAAAAUCAAAGACAGGAACUAUUCUUUCACACAAAUC
Non-coding RNA from Durio zibethinus, 1614 nucleotides. Lineage: Eukaryota; Viridiplantae; Streptophyta; Magnoliopsida; Malvales; Malvaceae. The record is from RefSeq and is a predicted model, not a curated record.